This 1099-nucleotide ribosomal RNA is filed under the name Limosilactobacillus fermentum. Its description in RNAcentral is "bacterial SSU rRNA". It matches the Rfam family "Bacterial small subunit ribosomal RNA", at positions 62 to 1141 of the family's 1533-position model. The record is from RNAcentral. Lineage: Bacteria; Bacillati; Bacillota; Bacilli; Lactobacillales; Lactobacillaceae.
UUGGACGGUGCUUGCGUCGGAUUGGUUUUGGGCGCCAACGAGUGGGGGACGGGUGAGUAACACGUAGGGAACCUGCCCAGAAGCGGGGGACAACUUUUGGAAACAGAUGCUAAUACCGCAUAACAACGUUGUUCGCAUGAACAACGCUUAAAAGAUGGCUUCUCGCUAUCACUUCUGGAUGGACCUGCGGUGCAUUAGCUUGUUGGGGGGGUAACGGCCUACCAAGGGGAUGAUGCAUAGCCGAGUUGAGAGACUGAUCGGCCACAAUGGGACUGAGACACGGCCCAUACUCCUACGGGAGGCGGAAGUAGGAAAUCUUCCACAAUGGGCGCAAGCUUGAUGGAGCAACCCCGCGGAAGGAAGAAGGGUUUCGACUCGAAAGCUCUGUGGUUAAAGAAAACACGUAUAAAUUAUCUGUUCAUACGUUGACGGUAUUUAAACAAGAAAGUCGCGGCUAACUACCUGCCAUCGCGGCGAAAUACGUAGGUGGGCAGGCGUUUUCCGGAAUUAUUUGACGAAAAAGAGGUGCCAGCCUUUUUCCAAGUUCUGAUGGGAAACCUUUCGGCUUAACCGGAAAAAUUGAUUGGAAAAUGGAAUAACUUGAUGGCAAAAGAGGGUAGUGGAACUCCAUGUGUAGCGGUGGAAUGCGUAGAUAUAUGGAAGAACACCAGUGGCGAAGGCGGCUACCUGGUCUGCAACUGACGCUGAGACUCGAAAGCAUGGGUAGCGAACAGGAUUAGAUACCCUGGUAGUCCAUGCCGUAAACGAUGAGUGCUAGGUGUUGGAGGGUUUCCGCCCUUCAGUGCCGGAGCUAACGCAUUAAGCACUCCGCCUGGGGAGUACGACCGCAAGGUUGAAACUCAAAGGAAUUGACGGGGGCCCGCACAAGCGGUGGAGCAUGUGGUUUAAUUCGAAGCUACGCGAAGAACCUUACCAGGUCUUGACAUCUUGCGCCAACCCUAGAGAUAGGGCGUUUCCUUCGGGAACGCAAUGACAGGUGGUGCAUGGUCGUCGUCAGCUCGUGUCGUGAGAUGUUGGGUUAAGUCCCGCAACGAGCGCAACCCUUGUUACUAGUUGCCAGCAUUAAGUUGGGCACUCU